UCGGCUGCAUGAAGCUGGAAUCGCUAGUAAUCGCGGAUCAGAAUGCCGCGGUGAAUACGUUCCCGGGUCUUGUACACACCGCCCGUCACACCAUGGGAGUCGGGAAUGCCCGAAGUCAGUGACCCAACCGGAAAGGGGGGAGCUGCCGAAGGCAGGCCUGGUAACUGGGGUGAAGUCGUAACAAGGUACC
RNAcentral lists this ribosomal RNA (190 nucleotides) under uncultured bacterium. RNAcentral's name for it is "partial 16S ribosomal RNA". It matches the Rfam family "Bacterial small subunit ribosomal RNA", at positions 1312 to 1500 of the family's 1533-position model. The record is from RNAcentral.